RNAcentral lists this long non-coding RNA (877 nucleotides) under Heterocephalus glaber (naked mole-rat). RNAcentral describes it as "lncRNA (ENSHGLG00000050256.1)". The record is from RNAcentral. Lineage: Eukaryota; Metazoa; Chordata; Mammalia; Rodentia; Bathyergidae.
CACUUUCCUUCUGGCCAAGAAGGAGCCCGAAUGCAACCAAGAUUGGAAGAAGUUGAGAAGGACAUAAUCAUGGAGGACACAAAGGCUAGGCUUUGAAGGACUAGUAGGAAAUUGGGAAAGCAGCAGGAUGGGAAGAGAGCAUUCUACAUAUUCUGGGGAAAGAUGUUGGAAUGAAGGCAGCAGAGGGACAAGGACAAAAAUACGACAGACCAUGCCAGAAAAUGUCUAUCACCUACUAGCAGCAUCUCAUUGAUGUUUUGACAUAGGGAAGAUGUGGAAUCUCUGGAACCAAUGAAGAGAACUACACUCUGAAAGUUCAAUGUACAGUACAUGGGUCUGUUUUUCCAGAAAAUAACAUGUAUUUUUAGGGCUUUUGUACUCCUGUAGUUUAGAAUAAAACAUGACUGUCUCCUAAGUGGAAUAAAGGGAAGUGUGUAUUCUGGAUCCUUAAGGGAAAGAUCAGCUGAAGCAAUCUGGACCCCAUCCUCAUGAGACCAGAUCUUAUGAGCAAGGGCUCUGAACCAUAUUUCUUCAAAGAUAAACUUCAAAAAAUUCUCAAUUCUUAUUUUAGUAAACAUUGAAAUUAUUUUAUCUUCUCACAAUGUAAAAUUAUUUCAAGUUUUGCUCAUUCUUUCAAAAUAUUUUGAUGAAUAGCAAUUCUAUAUUUAUGCAGGAUCUUAGUUACUUUCUUGUUGGUGGGACAAAAUACCUGACAUCCACAAUUUGAAGGAAGAAAGAUUUAUUUUGGCUUACAGUUCAAAAAGAUUUCAGCCCAUAGUCUGCUGACUCUCAGGCAGGAAGACAUGGCAGAGGUGCACAGCAAAAGAAAAGUACCUUUAUGGCAUGGCUGCAGGAUGCAGAGACAGAGAGAGAGAGG